Molecule: transfer RNA, 86 nt
Filed under: Candidatus Lucifugimonas marina
Lineage: Bacteria; Bacillati; Chloroflexota; Dehalococcoidia; Candidatus Lucifugimonadales; Candidatus Lucifugimonadaceae
Description: tRNA-Leu
Rfam family: tRNA
About the family: Transfer RNA (tRNA) molecules are approximately 80 nucleotides in length. Their secondary structure includes four short double-helical elements and three loops (D, anti-codon, and T loops).
Source: RNAcentral
GCCGGAGUGGCGGAAUGGCAGACGCGAUGGAUUCAAAAUCCAUUGAGGUAACACUCGUGUGGGUUCGACUCCCACCUUCGGCACCA